RNAcentral lists this unclassified non-coding RNA (1297 nucleotides) under Hevea brasiliensis (rubber tree). The record is from RNAcentral. Lineage: Eukaryota; Viridiplantae; Streptophyta; Magnoliopsida; Malpighiales; Euphorbiaceae.
GGACAGGCUUUUGCUCAAACAUGGGAAGCAUAAGAGAAGUGAUUUGGUCCGGUGUUCUAGUUCUUGUAUGGCUAAUCCCUAAGGCUUCCACACAGCUGAAGGAGCCACAAGUGCCUUGUUUCUUCAUCUUUGGUGACUCUUUGGUAGAUAAUGGUAAUAAUAACAGGAUUCUUACACUUGCUAGGGCUAAUUACAUGCCUUAUGGCAUCGACUUUCCUCAGGGUGCCACUGGCCGAUUUACCAAUGGUCGAACAUAUGUCGAUGCACUAGCUCAACUUCUGGGGUUUCAAAAUUAUAUUCCGCCCUAUGAAAGAACUCGAGGCCGUGCAAUUUUGAUGGGAGUGAAUUAUGCAUCUGGAGCAGCUGGCAUUAGAGAUGAAACAGGGAACAAUUUGGGAGAUCACACAUCAAUGAACCAGCAGGUAAACAACUUUGGUAACACAGUGCAAGAAAUGAGGAGAUUUUUCAGAGGGGAUGCAAAUGCAUUGAAUGGUUAUCUGAGAAAGUGUAUAUUCUAUUCUGGAAUGGGAAGCAAUGACUAUCUUAACAACUAUUUCAUGCCCACUUUCUACACAACUAGCUCUGAUUACACUGCCAAAGCUUUUGCUGCUGUGCUUCUUCAGGAUUACUCUCGCCAGCUAACGCAAUUAUAUGAAUUGGGAGCUCGGAAAGUGAUAGUAACAGGAGUAGGUCAAAUUGGUUGCAUUCCAUAUCAGCUGGCAAGGUACGAUGGAAAUAACAGUCGCGGUCGCUGCGAUGAGAAAAUCAACAAGGCCAUUUCUCUUUUCAACUCUGGACUCUUCAAGCUCCUUCAAUCUUUCAAUAAUGGCAAACUUCCUGGUGCCAAAUUUGUUUACCUCGAUUCCUAUAAAAGCACCAAUGAUCUUUAUCUCAAUGCCUCCACUUAUGGAUUUGAAGUGAUAGACAAGGGAUGCUGUGGGGUGGGAAGGAACAAUGGGCAGAUAACUUGUCUUCCUCUUCAGCAACCUUGUGAAGAUCGCAGAAAGUAUUUAUUUUGGGAUGCCUUUCAUCCAACUGAAUUAGCAAAUAUUUUACUUGCUAAAUCAACGUUUACUUCACUGUCAUACACCUAUCCCAUUAAUAUCCGGCAACUUGCAAUGUUAUGAGAGGCUAGUGAUUUCACGUCAAGAUAUGUAUCCUGCAAGGGCUAGCAGAGUGAGCUUGCCAUUUUAAGGAUUGUGAUGUAUCCUUACUAUUGUCAUAAAUUAUUUAACAACUAAAAAUAAAGGAUAGUCAUUUUAUUUAAUUUUAUUAAAAUAUUAUACUUCAAUACAAG